RNAcentral lists this ribosomal RNA (402 nucleotides) under uncultured bacterium. RNAcentral's name for it is "bacterial SSU rRNA". It matches the Rfam family "Bacterial small subunit ribosomal RNA", at positions 355 to 774 of the family's 1533-position model. RNAcentral also lists the same sequence under 1 other name. The record is from RNAcentral.
UCGGGAAUAUUGCGCAAUGGAGGAAACUCUGACGCAGUGACGCCGCGUAUAGGAAGAAGGUUUUCGGAUUGUAAACUAUUGUCCACAGGGACGAAAAGGACUGUACCUGUGAAGAAAGCUCCGGCUAACUACGUGCCAGCAGCCGCGGUAAUACGUAGGGAGCAAGCGUUAUCCGGAAUUAUUGGGUGUAAAGGGUGCGUAGACGGGAUAACAAGUUAGUUGUGAAACCCCUCGGCUCAACUGAGGAACUGCAACUAAAACUAUUAUUCUUGAGUGCAGGAGAGGAAAGUGGAAUUCCUAGUGUAGCGGUGAAAUGCGUAGAUAUUAGGAAGAACACCGGUGGCGAAGGCGACUUUCUGGACUGUAACUGACGUUGAGGCACGAAAGUGUGGGGAGCAAACA